This 112-nucleotide small nucleolar RNA is filed under the name Meriones unguiculatus (Mongolian gerbil). Its description in RNAcentral is "Small nucleolar RNA SNORA17 (ENSMUGG00000011499.1)". It matches the Rfam family "Small nucleolar RNA SNORA17". Rfam says of the family: snoRNA ACA 17 belongs to the H/ACA family of snoRNAs and is predicted to guide pseudouridylation of the 28S rRNA at positions U4659 and U4598. It shares the same host gene together with ACA43. NB This family has a high threshold value to exclude a large number of closely related sequences that do not appear to have conserved H and ACA boxes, and may be pseudogenes. Lineage: Eukaryota; Metazoa; Chordata; Mammalia; Rodentia; Muridae. The record is from RNAcentral.
CCAACCACUAGAGCUUUAUAGGUGUGGCUCUUGUGUCACAUGUGUGUCGGCAGGGGGCAGAGAGGAGAGUGCUCUGAUCUCUGAACAUCUGAAUGAUUAGUAGCCUAACAUU